This 115-nucleotide ribosomal RNA is filed under the name Erythromicrobium hydrolyticum. The record is from RNAcentral. Lineage: Bacteria; Pseudomonadati; Pseudomonadota; Alphaproteobacteria; Sphingomonadales; Erythrobacteraceae.
CUUGGUGCACAGUGCUUGUGGUACCCACGCGAUCCCAUCUCGGACUCGGCCGUGAAACCAGACAGCGCCGAUGGUAUCAACGCUCAAGCGUUGGAAGAGUAGGUCGCCGCCAUGG